GAAAGCCUCACUAUUUAAACUAGAAGAUCAGAGCAGUGAGAAUGAUCUGCGGAACAGAUGAAAAGGAAGAACAAAAAAGAAAAGCUUCAGUAAAUCAACUUCCUGCUCAACUUCUAUGAAACCCAAGAGAGUUGCAAAAGUUUACAAGAGGCAGCAAAGCAACAUCAGGAAGCCCAUCAAAGUUUCAAACAAGAACAAGAAUCCCUGUUAGAGUCUGUAAAGUGCCGAACAGCUCAAUAAAGACUUUGAAGAUAUCAAAACAAAAUCCAUACAGUCACUAGAUAAAACAAAGUUGUGGAGACCAGAACAUCAGAACUCACCACAGAGUUUAAGGGGAAACAUGCUGAAAUUCACUAAUUCAAGAAUAAAGUCUGCUGAAAACAAUUUACUGGAAAAGGCACUUGAAAAGGCUGAAACGAUGCAAAACUAUUUGAAGGAUAAAGACAAUAUGACAGAGAGGAAAAUACAAGAGAUUGAGGGGCAAUUAUCUGCUGCAAUGAGAAGAGAGGAAAAAUCCAUCAAGGAAAAAGAUCAUCUGAAGACAGACAUUGUACAACAUGAGGUGAAGUAUGAAGAGCUAUCAGCAAGUCUCAAUCAGCUGCAACUUGAGAACAAGACUAUUCUGGAGACGAUGCAGAAUGAAUCCUCAGAGGCAACCAUUCUUGUAGCACGACUAAAAGUCUGUAUGAAUUGAACAUGUGUUGCUGUAUGUAUAGAAUAAAACAGAAUAAUUGAGCAGUUUUCUGAUAAUUUAAGGUAUUUUGUUGUUAUGGGAAUAUUUUUCUCUCAUUCAGGAGAGGGAGGCAAAAUAGAUGAAGAUGAAGAAGGAAAUUGAAAGGCUCCAGGAGGAAAACCAUCAAUUAUGGAUUUCAAAUCCUCUCUAUGGGAAAGAAAAGGUACCGAAGCUACAGCUUUGAGCUACAGAGGCCGUCAAGAGUAAGGAAGAUGCUGAAGUCAAACGUCAGAACAAGACAGCAGACAUGGUUGCCGUGACGGAAAGCACAAGGUUAAGUUCUCUGUUGGCAUCAGAUCCACUAUGACGAAAUGGUUGACGAGAAAGAUGCAGAGCUUGAUGAUAAGAAGAGAGAAGACAUGGAGGCAGCUGCUAAUAGAACAUCACUGGAAUUGGAUCUGUCACAGCAGAACAUGGAAAAUGGCCAUUUGAAGGAACAACUGGAGAAAGAAAUGAAGGAGAGGGAAAGCUGACUACAGGAGAUUACAGGUCUGGAAAAAGAGACGGCAUGUCAGAAAAUGAGCAGGCAACUGCAGACACAGGAUAACCAGGAAAUGGAAAGCAAAGCCCCAAGAACUCCGUCUUGGAGCUCCAUAACAACAGUUAUAGCAACACCGCAAAUUAAGGAAAGCAAAGCUCUCAAAACUCCAUCUUGGCGUUCCCCAGUACAGCUGGCGCAACACCACGGAUUAAGGUGGGGAUAGAUUUUUUUAUGUGAAGUAUUCACUGUGUUUACUUUGUUGACCGUGACACGUGUACCAUUCCCCCAGAGGAUUCUCUCCAUCCUAUUUCUCUGUGAUUGAGUGAUUUUCUCCACAGUCUUACAGAAUCAGAACUCCUCCGUCCGCUGGGAAGUCUGUGCCCUGGGGGAAGAGUACCCUGGAGCUUGACCUGGGGGAAGAGUACCCUGGAUCUUGACCUGGGGGAGAGUACCCUGGAGCUUGACCUGGGGGAAGAGUACCCUGGAGCUUGACCUGGAGGAAGAGCACACUGGAGCUUGACCUGGGGGGAGAGCACACUGGAGCUUGACCUGGAGGAAGAGCACACUGGAGCUUGACCUGGAGGAAGGGCACACUGGAGCUUGACCUGGGGGAAGAGUACCCUGGAG
Long non-coding RNA from Oncorhynchus tshawytscha (Chinook salmon), 1841 nucleotides. RefSeq lists it as uncharacterized. The record is from RefSeq and is a predicted model, not a curated record. The transcript is spliced from 13 exons. Lineage: Eukaryota; Metazoa; Chordata; Actinopteri; Salmoniformes; Salmonidae.